CUCAGUUAACCUUUACGAACACCACAGCAGCGGCCGUUCAAUUAUAUAUCAUCCCUGCCUAAGAGCAUACUAUGGUGUCACACGAUUCGAGUCACGAGUCCCUAUGGCUGAAGUCCGAGUCCCAGUGCUCGAGUCCUGGUCCAUGUGCUCAAGUCUGAGUAACUAGGUCCAAAUUAACCCAAAAUAAAGAUAUUUACCCAGUCAGAUGUAGUGUAGUGGCAAGAGGCGUUAUUUACCCAGUCAGACAUAGAGGAGUUAUUUACCCAGUCAGAUAUAGAGGAGUUAUUUACCCAGUCAGAUAUAGAGGAGUUAUUUACCCAGUCAGAUAUAGAGGAGUUACUUACCCAGUCAGAUAUAGAGGAGUUAUUUACCCAGUCAGAUAUAGAGGAGUCAUUUACCCAGUCAGAUAUAGAGGAGUCAUUUACCCAGUCAGAUAUAGAGGAGUCAUUUACCCAGUCAGAUAUAGAGGAGUUAUUAACCCAGUCAGAUAUAGAGGAGUUAUUUACCCAGUCAGAUAUAGAGGAGUUAUUCACCCAGUCAGAUAUAGAGGAAGGAUUUAUUCACCCAGUCAGAUAUAGAGGAGUUAUUUACCCAGUCAGAUAUAGAGGAGUUAUUUACCCAGUCAGAUAUAGAGGAGUUAUUUACCCAGUCAGAUAUAGAGGAGUUAUUUACCCAGUCAGAUAUAGAGGAGUUAUUCACCCAGUCAGAUAUAGAGGAGUUAUUUACCCAGUCAGAUAUAGAGUAGUUAUUUACCCAGUCAGAUAUAGAGGAGUUAUUUACCCAGUCAGAUAUAGAGGAGUUAUUUACCCAGUCAGAUAUAGAGGAGUUAUUCACCCAGUCAGAUAUAGAGGAGUUAUUUACCCAGUCAGAUAUAGAGGAGUUAUUUACCCAGUCAGAUAUAGAGGAGUUAUUAACCCAGUCAGAUAUAGAGGAGUUAUUAACCCAGUCAGAUAUAGAGGAGUUAUUUACCCAGUCAGAUAUAGAGGAGUUAUUUACCCAGUCAGAUAUAGAGGAGUUAUUAACCCAGUCAGAUAUAGAGGAGUUAUUAACCCAGUCAGAUAUAAAGGAGUUAUUUAGUGGCAAGAGGGAUUUAGUCAAUAUGUUAU
Molecule: long non-coding RNA, 1106 nt
Filed under: Salmo salar (Atlantic salmon)
Lineage: Eukaryota; Metazoa; Chordata; Actinopteri; Salmoniformes; Salmonidae
Description: lncRNA (ENSSSAG00000088877.1)
Source: RNAcentral